CCACCAAACCGACGAUCAGUAGCCGACCUGAGAGGGCAACCGGCCACAUUGGGACUGAGACACGGCCCAAACUCCUACGGGAGGCAGCAGUGGGGAAUAUUGCACAAUAGGGGAAACCCUGAUGCAGCGACGCCGCGUGAGUGAAGAAGUAUUUCGGUAUGUAAAGCUCUAUCAGCAGGGAAGAAGAUGACGGUACCUGACUAAGAAGCACCGGCUAAAUAC
RNAcentral lists this ribosomal RNA (222 nucleotides) under uncultured bacterium. RNAcentral's name for it is "partial 16S ribosomal RNA". It matches the Rfam family "Bacterial small subunit ribosomal RNA", at positions 265 to 504 of the family's 1533-position model. The record is from RNAcentral.